RNAcentral lists this ribosomal RNA (230 nucleotides) under uncultured bacterium. RNAcentral's name for it is "partial 16S ribosomal RNA". It matches the Rfam family "Bacterial small subunit ribosomal RNA", at positions 15 to 228 of the family's 1533-position model. The record is from RNAcentral.
GAUCCUGGCUCAGGACGAACGCUGGCGGCGUGCUUAACACAUGCAAGUCGAACGAGAAUCUGCGGAAAGAGGAUUCGUCCGAUUGAAGCAGAGGACAGUGGCGGACGGGUGAGUAACGCGUGAGGAACCUGCCUUUCAGAGGGGGACAACAGUUGGAAACGACUGCUAAUACCGCAUGACACAUCGGAGUCGCAUGGCUCUGAUGUCAAAGGUUUAUCGCUGAAAGAUGG